AUUGAACGCUGGCGGCAUGCCUUACACAUGCAAGUCGAACGGCAGCACGGGAGCUUGCUCCUGGUGGCGAGUGGCGAACGGGUGAGUAAUAUAUCGGAACGUACCCUAGAGUGGGGGAUAACGCAGCGAAAGUUGCGCUAAUACCGCAUACGAUCUACGGAUGAAAGUGGGGGAUCGCAAGACCUCAUGCUCAUGGAGCGGCCGAUAUCUGAUUAGCUAGUUGGUGGGGUAAAGGCCUACCAAGGCAUCGAUCAGUAGCUGGUCUGAGAGGACGACCAGCCACACUGGAACUGAGACACGGUCCAGACUCCUACGGGAGGCAGCAGUGGGGAAUUUUGGACAAUGGGGGGCAACCCUGAUCCAGCAAUGCCGCGUGAGUAAAGAAGGACCU
RNAcentral lists this ribosomal RNA (391 nucleotides) under uncultured bacterium. RNAcentral describes it as "bacterial SSU rRNA". It matches the Rfam family "Bacterial small subunit ribosomal RNA", at positions 30 to 418 of the family's 1533-position model. The record is from RNAcentral.